Molecule: non-coding RNA, 73 nt
Organism: Rhincodon typus (whale shark)
Lineage: Eukaryota; Metazoa; Chordata; Chondrichthyes; Orectolobiformes; Rhincodontidae
Source: the annotation of a RefSeq genome assembly
GUUUCUGUAGUGUAGUGGUUAUCACAUUCGCCUUACAUGUGAAAAGUCCCUGGUUCGAAGCUGGGCAGAAACA